Long non-coding RNA from Pantherophis guttatus, 420 nucleotides. RefSeq lists it as uncharacterized. Lineage: Eukaryota; Metazoa; Chordata; Lepidosauria; Squamata; Colubridae. The record is from RefSeq and is a predicted model, not a curated record.
AUUUUCUAUUUUACUUUAGUUCAAAACACAGUGGCUGAAGUUGUACAUUUGCAGAGAGACUUGUGGAGAUGUCAAGAAAGUUUGUCUGGAAAAAAGGCAAGAGGUCUUCAUAUGUUAAAAAAAAAAAAGAAAAGAAAAGAAAAGAAAAGAAACUGGCCUUCAGCAAUGUGGCCUAUUAUGUCUCUUCCCAUAUUUGUUUCACUGAACUGAGCCCUACUGUGCUGACCAGCAUCACCUGGGAUCCCCAAACUCCUGUUCCCUUCUUCUGCUUCAAAAUAUCUUCUAGGCUCAGAGAAAUCUCAGCUCUUAUUCCUCCCUGACACACUUUCAUCUUUUCCACUUAUAUCUCCCAAUGUCUCUGCCAGCAUUUUCUAAUGUGUCACCUUAUCUCUUUUCUCUUAUUAAAAGGCUGAAUCUUGA